UACGUAGGUCCCGAGCGUUGUCCGGAUUUACUGGGCGUAAAGCGAGCGCAGGUGGUUUAUUAAGUCUGGUGUAAAAGGCAGUGGCUCAACCAUUGUAUGCAUUGGAAACUGGUAGACUUGAGUGCAGGAGAGGAGAGUGGAAUUCCAUGUGUAGCGGUGAAAUGCGUAGAUAUAUGGAGGAACACCGGUGGCGAAGGCGGCUUUCUGGACUGAAACUGACGCUGAGGCACGAAAGCGUGGGGAGCGAACAGG
RNAcentral lists this ribosomal RNA (252 nucleotides) under uncultured bacterium. RNAcentral describes it as "partial 16S ribosomal RNA". It matches the Rfam family "Bacterial small subunit ribosomal RNA", at positions 524 to 776 of the family's 1533-position model. The record is from RNAcentral.